This 451-nucleotide ribosomal RNA is filed under the name LMWdDNA-degrading marine bacterium 16. RNAcentral's name for it is "bacterial SSU rRNA". It matches the Rfam family "Bacterial small subunit ribosomal RNA", at positions 12 to 468 of the family's 1533-position model. The record is from RNAcentral.
UUUGAUCCUGGCUCAGAUUGAACGCUGGCGGCAGGCCUAACACAUGCAAGUCGAACGGUAACAUUUCUAGCUUGCUAGAAGAUGACGAGUGGCGGACGGGUGAGUAAUGCUUGGGAACUUGCCUUUGCGAGGGGGAUAACAGUUGGAAACGACUGCUAAUACCGCAUAAUGUUUUCGGACCAAACGGGGCUUCGGCUCCGGCGCAAAGAGAGGCCCAAGUGAGAUUAGCUAGUUGGUAAGGUAACGGCUUACCAAGGCGACGAUCUCUAGCUGUUCUGAGAGGAAGAUCAGCCACACUGGGACUGAGACACGGCCCAGACUCCUACGGGAGGCAGCAGUGGGGAAUAUUGCACAAUGGGGGAAACCCUGAUGCAGCCAUGCCGCGUGUGUGAAGAAGGCCUUCGGGUUGUAAAGCACUUUCAGUUGUGAGGAAAAGUUAGUAGUUAAUACC